This 1360-nucleotide ribosomal RNA is filed under the name Synechococcus sp. SM0708. RNAcentral describes it as "bacterial SSU rRNA". It matches the Rfam family "Bacterial small subunit ribosomal RNA". Lineage: Bacteria; Bacillati; Cyanobacteriota; Cyanophyceae; Synechococcales; Synechococcaceae. The record is from RNAcentral.
GUGGCGGACGGGUGAGUAACGCGUGGGAAUCUGCCCUCAGGAGGGGGAUAACGGCCGGAAACGGCCGCUAAUACCCCAUAUGCCGAGAGGUGAAAUGAAUUUCGCCUGAGGAUGAGCCCGCGUCUGAUUAGCUAGUUGGUGGGGUAAUGGCCCACCAAGGCGACGAUCAGUAGCUGGUCUGAGAGGAUGAUCAGCCACACUGGGACUGAGACACGGCCCAGACUCCUACGGGAGGCAGCAGUGGGGAAUUUUCCGCAAUGGGCGAAAGCCUGACGGAGCAACGCCGCGUGAGGGAUGAAGGCCUCUGGGCUGUAAACCUCUUUUCUCAAGGAAGAAGACAUGACGGUACUUGAGGAAUAAGCCACGGCUAAUUCCGUGCCAGCAGCCGCGGUAAUACGGGAGUGGCAAGCGUUAUCCGGAAUUAUUGGGCGUAAAGCGUCCGCAGGCGGCCUUGUAAGUCUGUCGUUAAAGCGUGGAGCUUAACUCCAUUUCAGCGAUGGAAACUACAAGGCUUGAGUGUGGUAGGGGCAGAGGGAAUUCCCGGUGUAGCGGUGAAAUGCGUAGAUAUCGGGAAGAACACCAGUGGCGAAGGCGCUCUGCUGGGCCAUAACUGACGCUCAUGGACGAAAGCCAGGGGAGCGAAAGGGAUUAGAUACCCCUGUAGUCCUGGCCGUAAACGAUGAACACUAGGUGUCGGGGGAAUCGACCCCCUCGGUGUCGUAGCUAACGCGUUAAGUGUUCCGCCUGGGGAGUACGCACGCAAGUGUGAAACUCAAAGGAAUUGACGGGGGCCCGCACAAGCGGUGGAGUAUGUGGUUUAAUUCGAUGCAACGCGAAGAACCUUACCAGGGUUUGACAUCCUGCGAAUCCCUUGGAAACGAGGGAGUGCCUUCGGGAGCGCAGAGACAGGUGGUGCAUGGCUGUCGUCAGCUCGUGUCGUGAGAUGUUGGGUUAAGUCCCGCAACGAGCGCAACCCACGUCUUUAGUUGCCAGCAUUCAGUUGGGCACUCUAGAGAGACCGCCGGUGAUAAACCGGAGGAAGGUGUGGAUGACGUCAAGUCAUCAUGCCCCUUACAUCCUGGGCUACACACGUACUACAAUGCUACGGACAAAGGGUUGCAAGCUCGCGAGAGUUAGCUAAUCCCAUAAACCGUGGCUCAGUUCAGAUCGUAGGCUGCAACUCGCCUACGUGAAGGAGGAAUCGCUAGUAAUCGCAGGUCAGCAUACUGCGGUGAAUACGUUCCCGGGCCUUGUACACACCGCCCGUCACACCAUGGAAGUUGGCCAUGCCCGAAGUCGUUACUCCAACCCUUGUGGAGGAGGACGCCGAAGGUGGGGCUGAUGACUGGGGUGAAGUCGU